UAGCGGAGGAAAGGAAACCAACAGGGAUCGCCUCAGUAACGGCGAGUGAAGCGGCAACAGCUCAAAUUUGAAAUCUGGCUCUCGGGCCCGAGUUGUAAUUUGUAGAGGAUGUUUCGAGCAUGGUCUGUCCUAAGUUCCUUGGAACAGGACGUCAUAGAGGGUGAGAAUCCCGUAUGCGGUCAGGUGCCUACGCUCAUGUGAAACUCCUUCGACGAGUCGAGUUGUUUGGGAAUGCAGCUCAAAAUGGGAGGUAAAUUUCUUCUAAAGCUAAAUAUUGGCCAGAGACCGAUAGCGCACAAGUAGAGUGAUCGAAAGAUGAAAAGCACUUUGGAAAGAGAGUUAAACAGUACGUGAAAUUGUUGAAAGGGAAGCGCUUGCAACCAGACUUGCACGCAUGCUGAUCAUCCGGGCUUCUGCCCGGUGCACUCGGUUGUGUUCAGGCCAGCAUCAGUUUUGGGGGUGGGAUAAAGGCCCUAGGAAUGUAUGCUCCUCUCUACGGGGACGUGUUAUAGCCUAGGGUGGCCAAUGCCACCACCCGGGACUGAGGACCGCGCUUCGGCUAGGAUGCUGGCGUAAUGGUUGUAAGCGACCCGUCUUGAAACACGGACCAAAC
Molecule: ribosomal RNA, 613 nt
Filed under: [Candida] sp. 'davisiana'
Lineage: Eukaryota; Fungi; Ascomycota; Saccharomycetes; Saccharomycetales
Description: eukaryotic LSU rRNA
Rfam family: Eukaryotic large subunit ribosomal RNA
Source: RNAcentral